GACAUAGGUGGCGAACGUUAUCCGGAAUUAUUGGGCGUAAAGGAUGCGUAGAUGGUAGAAUAAGUUACUGGUCGAUGCCAAACUCAAUUUGGCGGAAGCCGAUAAUACUGUUCUACUCGAGGGCAGGAGAGGUUGUUGGAAUUCUGUGUGGAGCGGUGAAAUGCGUUGAUCUACAGAGGAACACCAAAAAAGGCGAAGGCAAUCAACUAUUCUGUUCCUGACAUUGAGGCAUGAAAGCGUGGGGAGCAAACCGG
RNAcentral lists this ribosomal RNA (254 nucleotides) under uncultured bacterium. RNAcentral describes it as "partial 16S ribosomal RNA". It matches the Rfam family "Bacterial small subunit ribosomal RNA", at positions 524 to 776 of the family's 1533-position model. The record is from RNAcentral.